AGGGUGUAAACGCUGCAGACUUGGUGUUGGAAGCCCUUUGGGGGCAUUCAGUGCCGGAGAGAAGUUGUUAAGUCUGCUACUUGGGGAGUACGUCCGCAAGGAUGAAACUUAAGGGAAUUGGCGGGGGAGCACCGCAACGGGAGGAGCGUGCGGUUUAAUUGGAUUCAACACCGUAAAACUCACCAGGGAAGACUGUUACAUGAAGGCCGAGAUGAAGACUCUGCUAGAUUUUCAGAGAGGUGGUGCAUGGCGUCAGUGACU
RNAcentral lists this ribosomal RNA (261 nucleotides) under uncultured archaeon. RNAcentral describes it as "partial 16S ribosomal RNA". It matches the Rfam family "Archaeal small subunit ribosomal RNA", at positions 748 to 1008 of the family's 1478-position model. The record is from RNAcentral.